AUUGAACGCUGGCGGCAGGCCUAACACAUGCAAGUCGAGCGGAUGAAGGGAGCUUGCUCCUGGAUUCAGCGGCGGACGGGUGAGUAAUGCCUAGGAAUCUGCCUGGUAGUGGGGGAUAACGUCCGGAAACGGGCGCUAAUACCGCAUACGUCCUGAGGGAGAAAGAGGGGGUCCUUGGGACAUAAGGCUACCAGAGGGGCCUAGGCCGGAUUAGCUAGUUGGUGGGGUAAAGGCCUACCAAGCCGACGAUCCGUAACUGGUCUGAGAGGAUGAUCAGUCACACUGGAACUGAGACACGGUCCAGACUCCUACGGGAGGCAGCAGUGGGGAAUAUUGGACAAUGGGCGAAAGCCUGAUCCAGCCAUGCCGCGUGUGUGAAGAAGGUCUUCGGAUUGUAAAGCACUUUAAGUUGGGAGGAAGGGCAGUAAGUUAAUACCUUGCUGUUUUGACGUUACCAACAGAAUAAGCACCGGCUAACUUCGUG
This 484-nucleotide ribosomal RNA is filed under the name uncultured bacterium. RNAcentral describes it as "partial 16S ribosomal RNA". It matches the Rfam family "Bacterial small subunit ribosomal RNA", at positions 30 to 507 of the family's 1533-position model. The record is from RNAcentral.